Molecule: long non-coding RNA, 1624 nt
Organism: Amphiprion ocellaris (clown anemonefish)
Lineage: Eukaryota; Metazoa; Chordata; Actinopteri; Pomacentridae
Source: Ensembl
CUUCGUCCGGUGCACGAUGGAAGACGCCAACCCGAGCAAGAGGAAGAAGGCAGACUCCUCGACGGACACACAAGACUUGGAGGUCACGGAUAUCCAGGUGUCAGCCGAGUUCCAGUAAACGGACAAAGGAAAAAUAUCAGUGGCAAAAAGUAGAGAUGUGAAUAGACAGGAGUCUUCCAGCCAGCUGUAUCUGACUCUUCAGACCCAGAGUCGAGUGACCACAGUCAAGUUGUCUGGCCACGAGGCUACCGGAGGAGCAAGCCAAGCACCCAUGCAGUCAUUUGACGUGGCAGAGAGAGCAGGAAGGAGAAGAGGAUGGUGUGUCACGGUGGCAGCAGCAGUCUCCUCUCCAUCUUCUUCAAUUCACCUCCAAUGGAUCUGCCGCUCACAUCCAUGCACCAGUAUCCCUUAAUGAGCAUUCUGUUCUCCCACCCCGGUUAGAGUGGACUGGAUCCUUCCGCCAGCCACCUUAAUUCUUCCAUGCAGCUGGAGUCAGAGAGGUGCUGCUGCUCAGACACCACUGCCGAUGCUACUGUUGCAGCUCAUUGGUCGGUAGCAUAGAGGACACACCCCCACCCACCCACACUCUCUCGCUACCCAAUAAAGGACAGACUGGAUGUGGUGAUGCUCUUUGUCCUUCCCAGCAAUGCUGUCUAUCCAAACAUCAAAGGCAUGAGCCUCGUGAUCUACUUUUGGCAUGUGGGAGGCUCAUCAGUCCAUGGAAGAAGGUGCUGAAUGGAUGAUAGGACAGGAGAUCAGGGCUGUGCUCAGAUGUCAUACACAGAUCUAGAUUGCCAUCUUUAGUAUUAUUUGUUGAAAUUUGUAGGUUUAAACAACUUCAAUUUUCAUCUUACAAUUAAAUAGAUUGGUAUAAUUGAACGCGAGUGUAAUGGGGGAACAGAAAGGCUACAAUAGGUGUAGGCCUAAAAGAUGUCUACUAAUGUUAUGUCACUGUAAAGGAAUAACUGAGUGACUCGUUUUUUAAAUCUCUAAAAGUCUUGGAAUAAUUUUAAGCAAGGCUUAGCUUUCUUGUAAAUUGUGAAAAUAUUUAGCACCUGAAAUGUUGAAACCAUAGCUAUAAAAUACCUUUUAGCUCAUCAUGAUUAAAAAGAUAACAUUUUCAAAUCAUAUGUAUUUAGCAGCAUAGCCAUAAACUCUACAUCCACAAAAAUAAUAAUGCUCAGUUGGGGUGGUAAUUUAAAUGCAACAAUGUUGAUGAGUUGCAGUUUACAGUGGUGUUGAACUAGACCACGGGGGGUGGGGAGAAGAACCUUUUUCUGUAUGUUGCCCUCUGUAUGUUCAUUUGUAAGGCGCUUAUCCCAUGUAAAUCUAUGUUGCAACUUAAGUAUUUACACUUCACUGUAAGGCAACACAUUAUUUAUUUCAUCCAUUUAUUACAGAAUUAUAGAAUUAUAAAAUAAAGUAGUUUUUUAAUGUGCAGUAAAGGUAAUAAUGAAGCUCUUUGCCUGAAUAUUUUGAUGUUUGAAUUCAGCAUAUCUGCUAUAAAUGACAGCAACAUGUACUCUGUAUUGUAAUUAUGUUAUAACAGCUGAGAUUAAGUUAAGGUUGAUAAAUGAUACCUGUGAAUUCAAAGAACAGAGAAUAAUAAACUGCUGAAAGAGUU